AUGUAUACGUCACUUUGUGUUUAUUAAAUGAAUAACUCAUAGUUUUUUUUGGUGUUUCUUGAUGCCAUGGACUUCUACGAGAUCGAGCUCAAAGAUAUCCAAAAUCAUUUGAUGUCCAUGGCCAAGUCAUAUUGAACACUGAGUUCCUGCGUGCCGUUACCAUAGAGUAUCAGUCACUCCAAUUUAUGGGUAGCGAGUACAUGAUGCCAGAAUAUAUGCUUGAGUGGGUCAUAGGGAUGUCGUUGAGUGUCGAGGGAAAAUCAUGGGAAGGUUGUACACAUAUGUACAUUCCAGCGUGCAUCAAUGAUCCCUAUGUUACGCUGAAGAUUAUUUUUGCUGACACAACUACAUAUGUGUACGACCCAAAUCAUUCAUGUUUGACACAAGGCCAGCUCGAGCAACACCUGGAGUCCGUAGCUGUAAUUGUUCCUAUGGUAGCCAGACGAGCAGGGAUGACUAUACAGGACAGAUUGCAGAUCGUUCGGAACACGACAACAGCACGACAGUCCAUGUGGUAAGUGUUUGAACUUUGUUGUUUUCAUCUUUCAGAUUUAGUUUUUAGCUACACAGUACUGAACUGAUCCAUCUUGUUCAAUUGUAGGGGUGAUUGCAGCAUAUUUACCAUUUGUACGUUGAAUUUUUAAGUAUAGGACAUAAGGUUGAUGGAAUCAACCAAUCGUGGGUACAAAAUUGGAGAAAGAAGUUAGCUUGUGAUUUGGUCAAAUUUAAUGAUGACCCGUAAAUUUGUGUUAAAUAUAUG
Molecule: long non-coding RNA, 760 nt
Filed under: Olea europaea subsp. europaea
Lineage: Eukaryota; Viridiplantae; Streptophyta; Magnoliopsida; Lamiales; Oleaceae
Source: RNAcentral